AUUGAACGCUGGCGGCAUGCCUUACACAUGCAAGUCGAACGGUAACGGGCCUUCGGGUGCCGACGAGUGGCGAACGGGUGAGUAAUGCAUCGGAACGUACCUUUCAGUGGGGGAUAACGUAGCGAAAGUUACGCUAAUACCGCAUAUUCUGUGAGCAGGAAAGCAGGGGAUCGCAAGACCUUGCGCUGAUUGAGCGGCCGAUGUCAGAUUAGCUAGUUGGUGAGGUAAAGGCUCACCAAGGCGACGAUCUGUAGCGGGUCUGAGAGGAUGAUCCGCCACACUGGAACCUGAGACACGGUCCAGACUCCUACGGGAGGCAGCAGUGGGGAAUUUUGGACAAGUGGGGGCAACCCUGAUCCAGCCAUGCCGCGUGUGUGAUGAAGGUCCUUAGGGUUGUAAAGCACUUUCGCCGUGAAGAUAAUGACGGUAACCGGAGAAGAAGCCCCGGUAACUUCGUG
RNAcentral lists this ribosomal RNA (458 nucleotides) under uncultured bacterium. RNAcentral's name for it is "bacterial SSU rRNA". It matches the Rfam family "Bacterial small subunit ribosomal RNA", at positions 30 to 507 of the family's 1533-position model. The record is from RNAcentral.